Molecule: non-coding RNA, 441 nt
Organism: Camelina sativa (false flax)
Lineage: Eukaryota; Viridiplantae; Streptophyta; Magnoliopsida; Brassicales; Brassicaceae
Source: RefSeq, a predicted model, not a curated record
CCCCCCCCCCCCUUUUGAAGGAAAUCAGAGACGAGAGGGAGAAUCAAUUCCGAGAGCGAACCCUAAUGCAGAAUCUGAGAUCCAUGGCGUCUCGCUGUUUCUCUUCUUCACCGCGUGCUGACUAUGUGGAGUUCCGAAAAAAGAAAAACGCAGCUGAGGAAGCAUUCAAACUCCGGCGUGAUCGUCAUAACGAAGUGGUAGCCAAGCACAAGUCUGUUCUGCUGGGGAAGGAAUGAUUUUUAGAAGAGACAACGACAAGUUAGUGUUUGGUUUUUGUGUGUGUGUUGUUUGCUCCUGUAAAAGAAAACAAAAUCCAUUGAUUGUUCAGGAAGUUGCUUUGUCAUUUAUAUUGGAUCCGUCUUCUCUUUUGAGACAAUUGUCGUAUGAUUAUCUUCUAGUAAGAUAAAGUGUACAGUUCUAUCUAAAAAUUAAUUGUGGUAA